Molecule: long non-coding RNA, 797 nt
Filed under: Capsella rubella
Lineage: Eukaryota; Viridiplantae; Streptophyta; Magnoliopsida; Brassicales; Brassicaceae
Description: long non-coding RNA (CRUB_LNC002978)
Source: RNAcentral
AAGGAACAAAGCAAAAACUAAAAGAGUUCUAGAAGACGAGUAGUUUUUGCGAGUUAAGAACUAAAUUGGGCUUUACGUAUUUUGUUAAAUGGGCCUAAUUUGUAAGAUUGCGUUUCGGCCCAAAUUUUAUCGGUUUGUGUCGGUCUGUGUCGCAAUUUACGUUUAGGCAAAAUCAAGUUUUCCAUUUCCACAAGUAAAAGAAAUCAAACAACUGUGAGAUUAAGUGAUUAACAUCAAAAUCAGGGUUUUUGUAAUGGACAAAUCUUCCUUUGGACAAAAACAUCAGAUCAAAUCCGGAUGGAAACCGACAAAAUCCUUCCGGCGAACUUUGUUGUACUUCAAUCUCGGUCUUGCUGGUUAGUCUAAAACUUUUUUUAUUACAAUGCGCUUAUGGUGUUUGAUGAAAUGCCCAGCUGAGAAAUUUGUAUCAAGAAACGAGACUAUUUCGUCUAGCAAUCUUCAUAUAGUGUAUAUAAAGUGGCUUUUUCUAUAUCACUAAUAUAAAGUUUGAUUUAUGCUCCAAGAGAGUCUUUGAUUCGACAUAUUCAUUGUUGAUGUUCUUGGCGAUAUGAAAAGACGAGAUUGAACUAAUUGUAAACAGAUGCAGGAUACUCUAAUUCAAGAUUUGCUAAAAUUUUUGUAUUCUUUUUGUUUAUAGGUAGCUUGUAUAUAUACAGAUACUACAUAAGAAAGGAAAAUAGUGUCAGUGAAGGAAGAAGCCAAACUGAUGCUUGAACUGGUUCGGUUGCUGUCGGAGAAUAUGGAUUAAUGCUAUUUUUACUACUUGGAUUGGUGAC